UGGGAUUUCAAACAAAACAUUGUUAACAUAAAAAAUUGCAAACAUAAUCAUAUCAUUGAGGACAUCGUUCCUUUCUUUUACAUUGCUCCUCUCUCUUUGUUAACGAGAAUUCUCCGGUGGUACAAAUCCAUGGAUGAAGAACGAACCAGCAUCAUCAAAUUGAGCUUUGAUUCAUCUUCUACGAUCUUUGGAGAAGAAGAAGAAAUAUCCAGAGUUGAUUUUUCUAAAAUUAUCGAUCUCGAUACACCGAGAUUCAAAGCCUUACAGUGGAUUCUCACAAGCUCUUGACUCAAUACUUCAAGCAAUAGUCUUGAUCUAUAACCUUACGCAGACCUCAAUGUUCUUUAACCUAGAUUUGCAUUUAUGGUUACUUGUCUUUGGUCAUUGAUUUACUACAUUUGUUGGUCGUGAGGGGGAACAAGUUUUUGGAGUUGUUUGUUCAUAUCUUUGCAAAUUGCAGCAUGUUCAUGAAGAGUUUCUUGGAAAAGGGAGAGAAGUUUGAGAAUGACGAAGCAGCAAAGAAGUCUUAAGAAUUGUGGGAUUGGGAAGAAGAAGGCAAUGAGAGCCAAAGCAGGACCAAGACGUUCUUGAAUGAUUUGUGUUCCAUGGUUACAUCUAUGACAUGCUUCUUCUCCAGCUUCUUGUUCUGAUCUUGUCAUUAGAGAUGAAUUGUGGCCAUGAAAAGUAAGAGGAGUAGUAAUGUGAACUUGAUUAUCUUUUUAUGAUCCCAAAUUCUCAAAAUCUUUCUUAAGCACUCUGAUCUCUGGUUCUCUUUUUACUAUAUAUCAAACUCUCAUCACCACUUGAUCAUUAAUCUUUUUUGUUCCUAUUUGAGGAAUUUUUGGAUAGUGAUGAAAAGCUUCAUUGAGUGGCUGCUGCUCCGAGUAAAACGAGUCAUGAUGAUGAGUAAAAGUCGAAGCUUCGUGAUGCUGAUCGCCCUUGUUCUUGUUCAGAGAAUUAAUGGAGUUGAUUGGAAGCUAAAGGAUAAAGGGAAACAGAGAAAAACGCCAAUAAUCUUGAUUCAUGAGUUUUUAAAUUGUUCCCAGAAUUAAAUUUGAAUGUCACACAAAAUACUCCAAUAUCCUAGAAGUUUCGUAACAAAU
Molecule: long non-coding RNA, 1103 nt
Filed under: Arabidopsis lyrata
Lineage: Eukaryota; Viridiplantae; Streptophyta; Magnoliopsida; Brassicales; Brassicaceae
Description: long non-coding RNA (ALYR_LNC002032)
Source: RNAcentral